Molecule: ribosomal RNA, 257 nt
Filed under: Klebsiella variicola
Lineage: Bacteria; Pseudomonadati; Pseudomonadota; Gammaproteobacteria; Enterobacterales; Enterobacteriaceae
Description: partial 23S ribosomal RNA
Rfam family: Bacterial large subunit ribosomal RNA
Source: RNAcentral
CUUGACACUGAACAUUGAGCCUUGAUGUGUAGGAUAGGUGGGAGGCUUUGAAGCGUGGACGCCAGUCUGCGUGGAGCCAACCUUGAAAUACCACCCUUUAAUGUUUGAUGUUCUAACGUAGGCCCCUGACCGGGGUUGCGGACAGUGUCUGGUGGGUAGUUUGACUGGGGCGGUCUCCUCCCAAAGAGUAACGGAGGAGCACGAAGGUUAGCUAAUCCUGGUCGGACAUCAGGAGGUUAGUGCAAUGGCAUAAGCUA